GGACGGAGCCGGGAAGCGGAAGCGGCGAGCGCGCCGGGAGCGCAGCUGCGGGCCUGGGGGCGGCAGGAGCCGCGGAGCCGUCCCGGCAGCGGGGCUGCCGGAGCGGGCGGCCGAGACAAUGGCGACGAUAGGGCCAGUUUGGAAUGUGUGGAUUUUUGAGUGAAACCUCUUCCCCAGAUAGAAGAAACCUUCAAGGAACAACUAUUGGCAGUGAGUCUGCAGAGUCAUCUGGAUGCAUAAUAUGGAAUGUUCUAAGCCCAGACGCAGCUGAAUGGGUGGCUCCACUGAUGAGGAGUGAUAUCUUUGUUAUCUGACAAGAGUCAUCCUAAACAAAAUACAUCAGCCAAGAAAGACGGUUUAAAAAAUGGUGAUAUAAAUGUAGACUUUGAUCAACUGAAACUUGAUGAUAAAGUUUUUCUACAAGCAGAAAUGAAUGCUGAACCCUUACGAAGAGAAUAAAGGUUAUUUGGUACAUAUUGGUGGUCUCUGCCCUUCAGUAUCUGAGGCUGAUUGAAGGUCUCAUUUCCAGAAAUACCAAGUUUCUGAAAUUUCAAUUUAUGAUUCUUCUACUAAUUACAGACAUGCAUCUCUUGCUUUCCAAAAAAAAGGAAACAGUGAUGUAAAGAUGGCUGUGAAAGGAAUGAUGCCAAAAAGCUGGAGCACGGAGCUUUGUUACGAGAACUUAAUAGAAGACGCAGCGGACACGUGAGCUCCAGGGGAGGCGAGUCCUCUGGAGUCUGUGGGUCCCGUGUGCACAGCGGCCACUGCACGAUGGGACAAGCCCUCACCCCACCCGCAUCUCCAGCUGCUCAUCUAGAGAAUUAUUAAAGCCAGUACCAUGUGGCUGUGUUGCGGUUAAAUGAGAUAAUGCAAACCUCGUAACGAGUGCUUGUUCACAUCGCUUCUCCUCCCUCCCAGGUAUGGGGAGGCACUGUCUUACCAGGGGGAGCCCUGUGCCACCGUCACACGUUGCAGUGGCCACGCGACAACAUGGAGGAUGACUCAGCCAUGCUGAGACAACACACACGUACACAGAAAAUGACUAGAAAGAACAACAUCAAAAUGAGUACCUUAGUUGAAUUUGGGUAGAGACAUUAUAGGUGGUUAUUUUUCUGUUUUUCUAUUUUCCGAGUAUCCUAUAAUAUGGUUAUAUUACUUUUAGAAGUGGAAUAUUUCAUGGCAAACAAAUAUUUUACUUUAAAAUUGCAUUGAACAAAAAGUGUUAAACUUCAAAACCUAAACAGCAUCUUUAUAGAUCCUCCAUCAAUGGAGUUAAUUUUAAAAUUCUAGAGUAUAUUCUGAAGCACUAGGUUCUUCUUAAUUCUAACACUUAACCUGGGACAAAUAAUUUACUCUGAGAGCUGCAUUCUUCACCUAUAAAGUGGGGCUAAUUUUAACUCACAGUUGUGAGGAUGAAAUGAGAUAAUAUGUAAGUACCAUGGAGAUGAUCAUGUUUUGAAAACUUCGAAGUUUACGAAGAUGUAAAUAUAAACCCAUUAAAUACCAGAAGAAAAAAUUUUAAAUGUUUAGUAACUUGAACUCCAACAUUAGAUGGACCUAUAUUCAAAUUUUACCUCUGCCACCAACAACCUGGAUGACUUUGGGCAACUACUUCACCUUCUCACUACAGCACCUUCUCAGCAGUGGGGGUAACGACCACUUGCCUGCGUUGCUGUGAAAAUUAAAUAAGUAACUUAUAUAUAGCACAGUGCUUGUCACAAAAUAAUGGCUCAUUUAAUGUUACCAAUUAUUAUAAUCCUCCUUAAAACCACUUCUACAGUUAAUAAAACUGAAUGUUAUUAUUAAUGUCCCAAUCACUGUUUCACAUUAAGAUACAAAAAUAGAAAAGACACAUUCCCUACUCUUAAGGUUCUCACAGUCAAUAAAAGAAAUGGAAAUAUAUUUCAAAGAUAAUAGGAGACUUCAAUAACUAAUAAAAUCAAAUUUUAUGUCUAUUACUAUGAGAACAGAGACAAAGGGGAACAGGAUUGGUUACAAUGAGGAAUGUAUCAAAAUCUCAAAGGAGAUGAUAUUUUAGUUGGAUCUUGAAAGACUGGGUAUGAUUUUGUCCAUUAAUGAUGGAAAAGUACAAAAUUAAAAAUCCAAGCCAGGCAUGAUGGCACAUGCUUGUAAUCCCAGCUACUCAGGAGGGUGAGGUGGGAGGAUCAUUUGAAUCCAAGACUUUGAGUCCAGGCUGGGCAACCUAGCGAGAUCCCAUCUCUUAAAAAAAAAAUCUAUAGAGUGCUCGGCCAUUGAGACUUGUCUCAUCAGAUGGAACACUGAGAGGGGAAAUGUUGGCUGUAAAAAGAAGAAAUAUCAUGAUCUAAUUGUGAAGAGCUUUAUACAAAUGCCCUGCUCCAUUAUUUGGACUUUAUGCACAAUAGGGAAAUCAAAAGAGGAUUUAAGAACACAGUCAGACCUAAAAUUUAGAAAAAUAACUGGUAAAAUUAGGUUGACUUAACAGUGUCAGGAAAGACUUCCCAGGGAUGACAUUUGGAAGAAGAAGUCUGGGAAGGUCAUCCCAGGUGGCGUGUGGGAGACACAGACCUGAGGACCUGCCAAGCGCAUCUCUGGCUUCUAGAGCGUAGCAGAGUGGGGGCGGCGGAGGUGAUGUGGAAGACACGGGCCAAGACAGCGACACCUUUGCCCAGGAAUGUGGGCUUCGAGGGCGAGAGAGAAAGGCCUGCGAUGGUAGAGCGAUCUGAGAAGAUGACGUUGUGGAAAAACAGGGGCUGGAGGAACAGGCAGGAAAUCACAAGAGUGAAAACUCAGCCCAGAAGAGGGAAGAACAGAUGGACUCAAGAGACAUUUGAGGGGACCGUUCAGUCUAGCCUGGGAGGGAAAAAAAUGAAACUGCAAAGAAAUGUCAAGCACAUGAACACAGCUAGACAACAAUCCAAGGCAAGAUGAAUGUCAGAAGAUUUUGGCAUUCUGGAAAAAACUCACCAUGGACUUUGGUUAUUCAGAAUUAGCUACUUCUGUAAGGCUAUCAUAUAAAAUAAAAUAGUAAUGAUAACAGUGGUAAAGUAUACCUGCCAAUCCACUUUCACAAUAAGAUACGUAACAAGAAUAAAUCAAUAUAGAUUGAAAGGAGAAUACAAUGAGUAAUUCCAUGAAGAAUCCUUGGAAUUACAUAAGCAGCAUAAUAACAGGUAGUUUUUCAAACUAACUUAUUUACAAAGAAGUAACUUAGGAAUGGACAUUCUCCUCCUCUCUAAUAAUUCUAAGAGAGAGAGACAUAGCAAACUGUAACUUAAAUAAACAGUUCCUGGAAAUUGGGCUUCAACAAGUUAAAUUAUAAUACAUAAAAAAAGAAAUAAUAUGUACCUAGUUGCAAUUUCAAAGUCAAGCUACACACGAAGAGGACUUACAGUUUGGGCUUAUAUAUAUCUGUAGCAACAGGAAGAACUCCAGGAGAACUCAGAAAUUUCAAUGCCAAACAUGUCACAAGAGGUCAGAGGUCACAUUUUUCUAACUGGGGUUUGACCCUAAAGUAAGCAAUAUAUGUAAUUAAUUGAUGCCCUAUUCUGAAACAUUAACUUGAAUGGGACUAGUCUACCAAUCCGCUGUUAGUCUAAUCAUGCUAGUCACAAUGUGAUCAUCUCUAAAAACACAAAGUCAAAGUUACUCAAGACAGAAAGGAAACAUAUAGGUUGACUAUUUUGAUUGCUUUUUCCCAGUAGUCAAUAAAAAAUACGUUAACCUCCCAAUCACACUGCCUAGCUAAUAAUGCCAGUAGAGACUAGUAAAAAAUCCGUAUCUGUUUCAAAAGCGUGUCUUUAAACUGUAACUAUUACUUAAAAUAAUUAUAAACUUCUAAUGCCAUGUUAUAAUUACCCAGAUUAGGUGUGCAUAAUUUGUUUGGAUUAAAGAAAAGGAAGUGAUAUAUGUAACUUUAUUUUAUUGGACAUUAAACUAUACAUGGCAUUUAGAGAAAUAACAUGACAAUGAGUUAUGAAUCAUAUUAGGAAUCUGCAUGAUUGAAGGCUUAAAUUUCACUUGUUAUUGAUUCUUUGUUCUAUGAUUCUUCACCCUUUACAUCUUGAUUGGAAAUCUGUAAAACAAGGGCAUCAUCUGAAGCAUAAAAAUAUUUUAUAAAUAUUUAAUAGAAAUGUUAAGUAACUGAGUAUUUCAAAGCUUUAAUGACACCUAUCCAAAUUACAUUAAAGUGAUGAAUUCAUGUGACAACUAUAGUGUUUACAGACAUUUAAGCUGAAAAGAGGACUACUAUUAUGCGUAACUUCAUACAACCCUCAACUGACUACUGUAUUUCCUUUUUUAAUAAUAAAAUGACUCAAUUGUUUCAAUUUUAUGAUGAUUAAACAUUAGAAGACAUCCUUCCAUUUCUAGAAACGUAAAACGUUUUUACUGAGAGGCCAAAAUUCGUGCUUAUUUAGUUCCCAAAUGAAGUCAUCUAUAGAAUUUAUGUUAUAAUUAAUUUAUAAACAUGAGCUGUAAAUCAGAGGGACAGCUUCACCAUUAAUCAAAACAUCAGACUUAAUCCCAGAUAUGUAUUUUGAGCUCAGAUUGAUCUUUUUAGUAAAAAUACUUUCCACAGCAAAAUAAUAAAACUUGUGAAAGAA
Molecule: long non-coding RNA, 4583 nt
Organism: Lemur catta (Ring-tailed lemur)
Lineage: Eukaryota; Metazoa; Chordata; Mammalia; Primates; Lemuridae
Exons: 8
Source: RefSeq, a predicted model, not a curated record